ACGAACGCUGGCGGCGUGCUUAACACAUGCAAGUCGAACGGAAAGGCCCUGCUUUUGUGGGGUGCUCGAGUGGCGAACGGGUGAGUAACACGUGAGUAACCUGCCCUUGACUUUGGGAUAACUUCAGGAAACUGGGGCUAAUACCGGAUAGGAGCUCCUGCUGCAUGGUGGGGGUUGGAAAGUUUCGGCGGUUGGGGAUGGACUCGCGGCUUAUCAGCUUGUUGGUGGGGUAGUGGCUUACCAAGGCUUUGACGGGUAGCCGGCCUGAGAGGGUGACCGGCCACAUUGGGACGGAGAUACGGCCCAGACUCCUACGGGAGGCAGCAGUGGGGAAUAUUGCACAAUGGGCGGAAGCCUGAUGCAGCAACGCCGCGUGCGGGAUGACGGCCUUCGGGUUGUAAACCGCUUUCGCCUGUGACGAAGCGUGAGUGACGGUAAUGGGUAAAGAAGCACCGGCUAACUACGUG
RNAcentral lists this ribosomal RNA (467 nucleotides) under uncultured bacterium. RNAcentral's name for it is "partial 16S ribosomal RNA". It matches the Rfam family "Bacterial small subunit ribosomal RNA", at positions 29 to 507 of the family's 1533-position model. The record is from RNAcentral.